Small nuclear RNA from Esox lucius (northern pike), 108 nucleotides. The record is from Ensembl. NCBI's taxonomy places the organism in Eukaryota, Metazoa, Chordata, Actinopteri, Esociformes, Esocidae.
UUGCUCGCUUUGGCAGCACAUAUACAAAACAUUUGAUCGAUACAGAGAAGAUUAGCAUGGCCCCUGCAAAAUGAUGACACGCAAAUCCAUGAAGCACAAUUGCUGUAU